GUUACAGCCGCCGCGGUAAUACGAGGGGUGCAAGCGUUAUUCGGAAUUAUUGGGCGUAAAGGGUGCGUAGGCGGCAUAUCAAGUCUGUUGUUAAAUCUCUCGGCUCAACCGGGAGUUCGCGAUAGAAACUGAUAAGCUCGAGGGUGGAAGAGAGGAGUAGAAUUCUCGGAGUAGCGGUAAAAUGCGUAGAUAUCGAGAGGAAUACCAAUGGCGAAGGCAGCUCCUUGGUCCAACUCUGACGCUGAUGCACGAAAGUGUGGGGAGCAAACAGGAUUAGAUACCCUAGUAGUCC
RNAcentral lists this ribosomal RNA (292 nucleotides) under uncultured bacterium. Its description in RNAcentral is "partial 16S ribosomal RNA". It matches the Rfam family "Bacterial small subunit ribosomal RNA", at positions 505 to 796 of the family's 1533-position model. The record is from RNAcentral.